RNAcentral lists this long non-coding RNA (7614 nucleotides) under Nicotiana tabacum (common tobacco). RNAcentral describes it as "long non-coding RNA (NTAB_LNC007177)". The record is from RNAcentral. Lineage: Eukaryota; Viridiplantae; Streptophyta; Magnoliopsida; Solanales; Solanaceae.
ACCCCCUGCCCAACCCAUUUUACCCCCUUUUAACUAAAACCCUAGACCUAACAUCAUCAGAGACCUAACACCCCUAGACAUCGAUCAACGCCAUUCCCAUCGAGCAAUAGAUCCCCCUCCCCCAAAACUUCAUUUUCUUCACAAAAGACCUAAGCGAGUUCUUUAUCUUCAACCAGCAAAACCCAAGUCAGUCGUUGUUCCUUCACCUCACACCAGACGACCCUAUCUCCAUCAGCUACUCACCCAGAAUCUAGCACAUCAACAAACGCCUAAGUCUAAAAGAGCAGCUCACAUCCAGUUCUGUUUCUUCUUCAACAAAAUCAACGACCUCUCACCGUAGCUGACCCCCAAAAAUCAGCACACACAAGAACGCCAUUCAGAAGAUAAAAGUGAAAAACAGGAGCGCACGCGAAAUGAUUAAGACAAAAAAACUGAGCAACUGGAAUUUUGAAAUUGAAAUCAGAAAUUUUUACUGUUUCUGCCGCUGGCAAGUUUGGCCCGUUGAUUGUUGUUCCUCGCUCGUUCUCUGUUGCUUUGGGAUCUGCUGAUCUUUGCACUUCCACUAGCCUUCAUUCAGCUAUUGUUUUCUCUGUUUAUCCUGCUCUUAAGGUGCACACUAGAAUCUUCUGUAUUCUUGAUUAUGUAUAUUGAUGAAUUGAUUAGAAUUGCUUCUGAAUUUGUUGGAUGGAUCUUACAUGAGUUCAACUGCUAUGUUUUAUGAAUCAGUAACAUCUUAAGGUGUUAUGAAAUAUCUGAGUUUGAUUCCAAUUUCCCAAACUUGUGGUGUUCCAUGAAAUCAAGUAUGUUAGACGUGAGUUAAGCAAUCUACCAAGAGAGUUUAGAUGGUGUUAUUUUCUUGAUUACAGUAAUUCAAUUCCAAUAGCAUGUUUUCUUAAAGUAUAUGAUUUUUUUAAUUAUCAUUUCCAGAUUUUUUUUGGGGUUUUCUAUUUUUUUCAAUUGUUUUUCUUUUGACGGGUAGAUGUUUCAAAAGGGGUUUGUAUGAUGGGUAAUAUACAAAGAAAUUUGGUAAAAAUUACCCACAUUUGAUUGUUCUAGGAUUGACUGCCCAUAAGGUAAUUUGUGAUUCAAUAAAAGAAGCAUGAUGUCAAAACGAACUUCAGUGAUCAACUUUCGAGAGAUAUAAGUUUUAUUGAUUUUAUAUUCAUACAUGAGUGGUGCUGUAUUAGUUACUCAAAUAUUAGCUUUUCUCGGUUGAUCUUUGAUUGGUUAGCGAACAUCUGUAGCUUGCUUUAAGCACGUUUUAUAACAAACAAUCGUGGUUAUGGGUACGAUUCCCUUGACUUAGUCAUGGUGUCUAAUUCCCAAAUUCGGGGGUUUAUUUCAUGUAACCCGAUCAUAACAACUUCAAAUAAUAAAAUCUUUUGAAAUAAAUUGAGGCGUGCCAUGCCAAGCAAUAUUUAUAAUCCAUGUCCCUCAUAAGAUUAGAUUGAGGAACUCACACUUAUAUAAAAGAUUUGAGGUGUGCCGUAAAUAAAUUAAAUCAUCCAUGGACCUCAUAAAUGUAGCUUUUAAAAAUUGAACAAUCGUAGUUUGCUUUGGGCUCGAUUUAGAUUAGUAUUGUGAUUAUGUAUACGUUCGUGUAACAUAAUUGCGAAAUUAAAUCUAAAAUAACUCGAGGGAUGCGUUCGCGCAACUUCAACCAAACUUUUCUAAAAAUAAACAAAGCGUUAUUAAUUGUGGACAAUUCCGUGUGACAUGAUCUUUGAUGCGCCGAAGGAAAAGCGUAUACGUACGCAUAACUCAAAUCUUUAAAUACGAAUAAUUCAAGUGAUUAAAAGCGGUAAAAGGUAAAUGCACAUAGGUCUUAAAAAUGAGCAGUUAAACAAUUUAAGCCAAGUAACAAUUACUAAGCGAUCGUGCUAGAACUACGGAACCCGAGAAUGCCUAACACCUUCUUCCGGGUUAACAUAAUUCCUUAUCUAGAAUUUCUGGUUCUAGACUCUUUAAAAAUAAAACUUCUGCGAUUUGGGAUUUAACAUAAACCGGUGACUUGGAACACCAUAAUUUAUUCCAAAUGGCGACUCUGAUUAAUUAAAUAAUCCCAUAUCGAAUAAUGUCACUUUAAUUGAAAAAACUCCCAUACACCUCUAUUGGGUGGAAAAAAGAGACGUGACAGCUCUGGCGACUCUGCUGGGGAUAAGAACCCUCAACCGGAUUUAUUGUUGAUAUUACUGUAUUUUAUGGACCCAAUGUGCUAAUUGCCAUUUUUACCUCUUUUAUAUUAGUUGAACUGUAUUGAAAUGCCUUCUUACGCCUCCCUUCUGAGUCUUCUAAAAAACGGUGCUCAUGUUCACGUGGUUCACUUUUCUGUUCGAGUUAUACCCAAAUAAGAUGGGGUUGGGCAAGCAACAAGGCCGGGCAGACUUUCGUGCUCUCGGUACGUUGCCCCCUCAUCGACUUGAGUUUGUCCGCUCGGGUAAGCCAUGUCUAGAACACAAACCCCGGGUUUUAAACCUAGAAUAACGCAACCUCAUGCUGGAUCGCUAGUAGAAACGAUUAUUUGCAUCAUGUGCAUUUGACCUUGGGGACUCAACACAGGGGUUGAGUACGUCUAGGAUAGGUGUACUCGAAAUAAAAGACUCUCUUGAUGCAUCCUAUGUGCUACAUGAAUAUUUAUAUGUUUUAGCUUGCAUGUUGACCAGCUAGGAAAAGGAAAUGAAAACAAAAAAACUAAUAGUGAAGUAGGAUAGAGAAUUUACCCGAUUCCAAAAAUCCCGGUAUUUAAAAAUAUCUCAAAACUCUGCCAAAAUUUUUGAGAGAAGAGGAAAAUGAAUUUAAAAAAAGUGUGAGUCAAACAUCAUUAUUAGAAUUGUGUCAAAAGAUACCGAACUACGUGGGUCUGAUUCUCACCAGAUAUGAGAUACGUAGGCAAGCCUCAUCGGUUCCGGCCCCACUUUUUAAAAAAAUCAAAAAAAUAUUUUUCUUUAAUUCUUUAUUUAGAAGCAUUUCCUUAAAAAAAUUAAAAUAAAAUAAAAUGGGCGUCCUUCAUUUUGAAGUAUUUUUCCCAAAAAAAAAAAAUCCAAAAAAAAAACAAAAAUCCAAAAAAAUAUUCUUUUCUUAUUUAGAAGUCUUUCUUUUGUAAAUGUGCAUAACAAAAUUAAGAAAUAAAAGUCCAAAAAUAUUUUCGCUUUUCUUUAGAAGUGCCUUUGUAAAUAAAUAAAACUCAGAAAUCCAAAAUAUUUUCUUAAAAGUCCCUCUUUCGAAAAUUAUGAGGCAACUUUCAAAAGCCAAAAAAAAAUAAUUUUUUGUUUCUUCUUUAGAAAAAGAGAAAACAAAUGAAAAUUUAAUCAAAAAUAUUUUUUUUUUACUUUUGAAUUUCCCAAAGUUCCAAUCAAAAGGAAAGGAAUUUUUAGAAGUUUUUCUUUCAAAAAUAAAAGAAAAAUCAAAAUCAAAAUUUCAAAAAAAAAAGAUAUUUCCUUUCUUCUUUUAAAGCAUUUCUUUCGAUAAUUCCAAAAAGAAAAAUAAACAACAAAACAAAAAAAUCAAAUUUUUUUCUCUUUUUUCUUAAAGCUUUCAUUGUCUGAGUUUUUAAAAAAAAACAAAAAAAAGAGUUAGUUUAUUUACUCUUUUCCAAGAUCUGAUUCAUGCGGGGUCAUGAUAAAUAGGCAAUCCCCAUCGGAUUCGAUCAUAGCCAUAAAAUAAAUUGAGUGAAAAUAAUCUGAAUAAAAAGAGAGAAAGAAAAAUUCAGUGAAAAAGAAAAAAAAGGAGCGACAUGAAUUAAAAAAGUUAAAAAAGGGAGAAAAAGUGAGUGCCAAAAUAAAAGAGCGGCAAAAGUGAAAACAAAAUCAGAAGUGAUUUAAAAGAAGCAUAAAAAAAAGAAAAGAGGUAUUGAGUGAAAAAGAGAGUUAGUUAUGCCCGGGAUGAAACAUGCAACCGUUCAAACACAUGGUAGAUGUGUUUAACUGCUAGGUCCAUUGCAUCCAAACGUGCGAUUCCCUAUCUGUUAAUAUCUCAAAACUAACAAGGUUGUUGGAUGUUCAAGUUAUCCCGGUUUUGGUGGUUGGUUUUGUCGGUAGUCUAGCCUCCCCUCCUUGACAAGAUCCAAAGGCACAGAUGGCCUCCGCAAGCAAUCUACCAAUCAUCAGUUCUGAGGAAAGCCCGGCAUCGGCUAUUCCGCAGCUAGAAUCAGUAGCUAGUGAGGAGAAUAAGAUAUUGCAUCUCCGCAUAUUGGAAAUGUGGGAUGCCUGGUCUAAUGGUAGGGAACAACCAAGUGUAAUCCCUCGGUUCCCUGAGAUGAUCCCCAUGUCAAGUGAGGUUACCAAUGCCCCUGUGCCCAACUCGCUCAUCUCUUGCAGGCACCCUCCAAGGCCGUUCAAUGAUUCUGGCAUGCCUCCUGCGGUUCAUCCCCAGGCGCCAGUUUUUUGGGCACCUUCAAUAUUGUUCUCUAGAGCACUAGUCUGCACCAGAACAUAACCAACUUUACCACGGUCGUAUUUUGAGCCUCCAAUGUUCACCUUUCAAGGUCCACAACUUCAAUCAGAAAUAACAUAUGUGACCCCUUACUCUUUUCACUCAACCUCUACAAUAUGAUCUCUUGGGGGAGCAAGAAAAAGUUGUUAAAAAUCCCGAGCAAAAGGAAAUGGCUCGGAAGAUGAAGAGCCUAGAACAAAGCCUGAAAAACAUACAAGGUUUGAGUGGCCAAAAGAGUGUCUCAUACUCUGACCUCUGUAUGUUUCCCCAUGUCCACAUGCCAGUUGGCUUCAAGUUUACAUAAUUUGAAAAGUACGACGGGCAUGGAGACCUGGUCGCUCAGCUGAAACGAUAUUAAAACCAGUUAAGGGGUGCUGGUGGAAAAUACGAGCUGCUAAUGGCCUAUUUUGGGAAAAGCUUCACCGAAAUCGCUUCUGAGUGAUAUACGCAUCAAGAACUUACUCAUUGGAAUGUGUGGGACGACAUGGCUCGAGAUUUUGUCUGCAAGUUGCAAUAUAAUGUGGACAUCGCUCUCGAUAGAAACUCCUUGUCCAAUUUGAAAAAGAAAACCGCGGAAAGCUUCCGUGAAUAUGUUGCCAAAUGGUUUGAGCAAGCUGCCAGGGUAAAGCCUCCAAUGGACGAAAAUGAAAUGGUCACGGUCUCUCUGCAGGUCCAAGAGCCCGACUAUUUCCAGAACAUGAUGUCUGUUGUGGGUAAGCCAUAAGCUGAGGCUAUCAAAAUUGGGGAAAUGGUUGAAAAUGGUCUAAAAACGGGUCGAAUCCUGAGUCAUGCUGCUUUUAAAGCCACAUCACCAGAUGUUCAAAAUUGUUUGGAUGGUUUGAUGAACAAAAAUGAGAGUGAGGAGGGAGCCAUGAUAGUUUCAAGCACGAAGGGGGCGCGCAANNNNNNNNNNNNNNNNNNNNNNNNNNNNNNNNNNNNNNNNNNNNNNNNNNNNNNNNNNNNNNNNNNNNNNNNNNNNNNNNNNNNNNNNNNNNNNNNNNNNNNNNNNNNNNNNNNNNNNNNNNNNNNNNNNNNNNNNNNNNNNNNNNNCGGGAUGAAGAAGCUCCUAAUGUGAUGAACAAUUUGUUGCUUGCCCACAACAUCGGGCCAAUAGUCGGAAUGAUUUCUGAAGCUGGGGAAUUUGAUCCAGCACUGAAGGUCGUUGUAUCCAUUGUCAAGACAGAAGAAAAGCCAAAAAUGGUCGCCAAGCAUGAAAGUUCCUCAUCAGGCCGGAGUCUUAGUAGCCAGUUGAUAUUAGGCUGUAUAGAUGAUAUUUACACCUUAAUUAUACCAUGAUUUAUUGUUGUUUUAUAGGCGAAAUGAUAACAAAAUGCUCUAAUUGGUAUUCUUUUGCUUCGCAGGGACUAAUCCAAGUUAGGAAGAACUAUAGAGUGUUUCGGAGUCAAUAAUGUUAAGAAAACAUCCAAUCAAGAAGCACCCGAGCAGAAUGAAGUAAAAAGUGGACUAUGUUGGAAUCCACUGAGACCGCGUUGGACCGCGACAGGCCAUCAACGCGAGGCAGAAUGUUUGGCUCUCACCGCGGUCGUGCCGCAGUCUGCUGCGGCCGCGGUGAACUGUGCAGUUGCCAGAAAUUUUUUGGACCAAAGUGUAACUCGGGAAAAACUUAUUCCUAACCCUUAUAAACUCUAGAAGCUCGCCCAAGAAAUUAUUAAGCUAUUUUUAGACUACUUUGGAGGCAAGAACAAGUGUGAGAAAAUCAACAAAACAUUAGAGUUUUUCUAUCUCUCUUUAUUAUUGCAAUUACACGUUACGAACAAUUUAGUAGUUUUUUCUUGCUUUGUUAUGAGUAGCUAAACAUUUAAUCUAGAGUUAAUGGAACCAAUUGUUUGAUGAGGUUUUGACUCAAAUUUGUUAUAAGCGAUCCGGAUUUAUUAUAUGAUUGUUCAACUACGUUUUGUACGGUGAUUAAUUGAAUGGCCCUUGAUUAAUCGUGUCUAAUUGCCUUGAGUUGCUUGAGAAAGAAUACUAGGUUAGAUUGCUGUUGAACAAUACCACUUUUGAGUAAUUGAAGAGAUUCAUUACUUGAACUUAAAAGUGGGGUUAGAGAUAACGAAACUUUGGUGGGAUAAUUCAGAGGUGCACGAAUUGUCAGCUAGAGUAGUUCGAGAGAAUGCUUGAGUAAAUUAUCGUAGCUGAUCGAGAGAUAAUUAAGAUAACCCAUAGCUCAUAAUCCUCAUAGAAUUAUUACGGUGAGAUUAUAGCAAAAGAUUUAAGACUUAAACUAGCAAUUGGGGAAAUUAAUACCCUAGACCUUUUUACCAUUGAAUUAUCUUUGAUUGAGCAUAUUGUUAUUUUUAAUAUCAUUUGAAGUAUAUAAACAAAAACCCAAUCUUUAUUGAUCAAAAUCUUGCAUCUGGAAUUUGUUUGAAUUGAUAAUAACAUUGCCAAGAUUUGUAAUAGAUAGGUUAGUUCCCUGAGGAUUCGACUCCGAAUUUAAAACCAGAUUAUAUUUGCAACGACCGCUUUGUCUUUUAGAAGGCAUAGAUGGGCGUGAUCAAAUUUUGGCAAAGUUGUCGGGGAAUUAACGAUUUUAUUUAUUGCAACUUAGAAGUAGUGCUAGAAUUAUUAGUUUAGAUCAAUUUUCGAAGGUGUUAAACAAAUUUUUUUUCAUUGAAAUUCUAACAUUUGAACUCUUGUGGGAUUCAAGUGUAUGCCUUGGCUACCCUUUGGGGAUAUCAGUGUGGAAGGCCGGGGAAGUGCUUCCGAUGGCUCCUUGGAAGAUAUUUUCUUCGAGCUCAUGCGCCCGGAGGAGAUGGAAUCUAGAGGUGCUGACGCCGUGGUGGGUCUUUGAGUGCUUAAGCUAGGACCUACGCCUUCACUAUAUGUGCCCCUUUGUUUCUUUGCUUCUGUGUAGAGACCCUUUGUGGGCUUUUGUAAUCAUAUGUAUGGAUCUCUCGGGGUCGUUGUAGAUGGAAUUUUAUGAACAUGAAUAUAUUCCUUUGAUUUCUUCUUUUGAGUUUUGCUUUGUAACUGCAUAUUUUCAUACCCCUCGAAGCCCUUUGAAUGCCUUCUUUUACUUCUGGACUGCUGAUAUCUGACUUUGGUGCGAGCAUCCUUUCUGCUUAUUUACUGAUCAUGGCUCUCUUUCGAGCCCAUCAUCGUACCUCGAAGCAAUCUAGGAUGGCUUGGUCAGGCCCGGGCUUUCACGGCCCUUCGAAUUAU